AUACGUAGGGUGCAAGCGUUAAUCGGAAUUACUGGGCGUAAAGCGUGCGCAGGCGGUUAUGUAAGACAGAUGUGAAAUCCCCGGGCUUAACCUGGGAACUGCAUUUGUGACUGCAUAGCUUGAGUACGGUAGAGGGGGGUAGAAUUCCACGUGUAGCAGUGAAAUGCGUAGAGAUGUGGAGGAAUACCGAUGGCGAAGGCAGCCCCCUGGACCGUAACUGACGCUCAUGCACGAAAGCGUGGGGAGCAAACAGGAUUAGAUACCCUGGUAGUCCACGCCCUAAACGAUGUCAACUAGUUGUCGGGUCGUCAGACUCGGUAACGCAGCUAACGCGUGAAGUUGACCGCCUGGGGAGUACGGUCGCAAGAUUAAA
This 373-nucleotide ribosomal RNA is filed under the name uncultured bacterium. RNAcentral describes it as "bacterial SSU rRNA". It matches the Rfam family "Bacterial small subunit ribosomal RNA", at positions 523 to 898 of the family's 1533-position model. The record is from RNAcentral.